AGGAAAAAAAAAUCUGUGUAUACGAUUACGAUUUACGAGUACUUUACGUGGCAUGGACCUCAGCUCCUACGUCACUCUGGCAGCCCAUGAUGCGAUCUCUUUCACCUCAGCUGCUACGUCACUCCCGAAUGUCCCAAAUUAACAUCCAAGUAAGCUAAACCGGCCAGCAGCUCCCCGCAAAUUAACAAGGCAAAUCAAAUGACUAAACACUUUCAAGUUUCAACGAAGAAUAUAUUUUUUGUUGUUGUUGUGAAACUCCAAGAGAAGCUUCAUAUAAGUAAGGAUCAGCCGUGUCUAAACCUGCUGUUGGUUGUGAGUAAAGAUGGGUGAAAGGGUGAAGCUCAUCGGUGCUUUCGCCAGUGCAUACGGCCACCGCGCAGAGGUGGCGCUUCGCCUGAAAGGCGUGCGAUACGAGCUCAUCCUGGAAGACCUCCGCAACAAGAGCGACCUGCUGCUCAACCACAACCCCGUCCACAAGCUCGUCCCCGUCCUCCUCCAUGGCGACCGCUCCUUGAGCGAGUCCCUCGUCAUCCUCGAGUACAUCGACGAGAGCUUCCAUGGUCCACCCAUCCUCCCAACCGAUCCGUACGAUCGAGCCGUGGCGCGUUUCUGGGCGCAGUUCAUCGAUCAGAAGGUAAAAAUUCAGCUUAAUUUACAUGUCAAGAAGAUGAUGAUCUCCAUCGAUCCUGUGAAAUCUUUUCUGCACAAAUAUUUGCUGAAUAUUUUGUUUUUGGGUGCAGUUUGGUAGGUUCAAUUUCUGGAUCCCGUUCGUGCAAAUGGAGGGCAACAUGCAGGAUUGUUUCGUGAGGGAAGCAAAGGAGAAUCUGGCGCUUCUUGAAGGGCAGCUCAAGGGGAGGAGAUUCUUCGGAGGCGACGCCAUCGGGUUCUUGGACAUAGCAGCGUGCUUGAUAGCUCACUGGCUUGGUGCGUUCGAGGAGGUAUGUGGGGUGACCUUGGCCACGGAUGAGGAGUUCCCUGCUUUGUGCGAGUGGAGGAGACGCUACGUCAACGAUGAGGCCGUGAAGCCGUGCCUGCCGAAUAGGGACGAACUCGUUGCGUAUUACCGUGAACGCAAGGAGAUGAUCAAAGCCGCCGGAAGGCAGCACAAAUGAUUCCAACGUAGUUGUAUGCAUGAGAAAUAAAUAUAUGUCCAUGGGAAUGGAAUAAGUUACUAUUUGAUUCAACGUGUUAUUUUUCUUAAUUUCAACUUCCAUGUUGGAGAUAAAAAGUUUAUGGAACAUACCAAUGUUGUUUGUUUUACAGUUCAUCUUCAUCGUGGUAGAAAUCAAUAUGGGUGCCGGUAGAUUUUAAAUUUUGUUGUGAGUUGUGACAUAUACGGAUCGCUAAACUCUUGACGGUGACGCCAAAGUUGGAUAAAAGUUGAAGGAAAGGAAACUGUCAGGGAAAUUAAGCUUCGGAUAGUCCCUCCAUAUCUCCAUCACAAAAUAAAUCAAUUUAGAUAGAAAAAUAACAUAAUCUAGUAGAACGAAUAUGAACAGAUUAGUCACAUCCCCGCCUAGACCGUUUAGACCUAGGCAUGUGCUUCAGUUCAUUCCCUUUUCUUUUUUUUUAAGAAAAACAUUUCAUUUCCUGCAUCGUAUCUCUUACCAUUUGAUCCUAUUACUGCUCAAACAUGACUUGUCCAUAUACUCCAGUCAGGAGAUUAGGUUUGUUCGGUUUUUUUAAUUCUUUCUUUGUGCAGUUCUGUUUUGAUACUACUCCCUCCGUUUCAAAAUAAGUGUAGUUUUUUACUGUUCAUCUCCAACGUUUGACUGUUCGUUUUAUUUAAUUUUUUUAUGAUUAAUAUUUUGUUGUCAUUAGAUGAUAAAAUAUGAAUAGUACUCUAUGUGUACUAACAUUUUUUUUACUUUUUCAUAAAUUUAUCAAAUGAGAGGAACGGUAAAACGUUGGACACUGAUAUCCAUAGUUGCGCUUAUUUUGGGACAUAGGUAACUUUGCAACACUGAAACCUACUACUACUGCUGAAGUAUUCAUGAAUAAAGCAUACCUUUGAAAAAGAAAAAAAAAUGUCAUGCUACCAACUCCAUUAGAGUAGUUUCUUACAUGCUUCUGAAAGGAAAAUCCAAACCAAGGCUCUGUUUAGAUUUUAACUUUUUUCUUUAAACUUUCAACUUUUCCGUCACAUCGAACUUUUCUACACACAUAAAUUUUUAAUUUUUCCAUCACAUCGUUUCAAUUUUUUCAAACUUCCAAUUUUGACGUGAAACUAAACACAGCCCAAAAGAAUUACCGACAGUCAAACAAAGUCACUAUCAUGGAACUGACCUCACAUGAACAUUAUCUUCUGGUAAAUCAAUUAUCGCUGACUUUUAGCUGCACCAGCAUUCAUCUUACUGAGCACGGAAGUUGAAUCUAGUGGAGUACUACUGUAUUACCCCAAGCUUGAGUAAACAAAACAUAGAGAAUUGACUGGAAGGAAAGAAACGAAAAAAAAAAAAGAGAAUGGAGCUUCCUCCUUGGAGAAGAAGCAACACACAUUUCAAAUUUAAAAUCCGAGUCAAGAAGCUUCCUUGUUACCCCUAUAAAUACGGAAAUACCAACAGUUCAGUCAAUAUAUGAGCAGAAAGCCAAGAACACACUUGGAAGCAAACAACCAAAUAUGGCUGAUCCAGUUAAGCUCAUCGGCGCAUUUGGCAGCCCGUUCGUGCACCGAGCCGAGGUUGCCCUGCGGCUCAAGGGAGUGGCUUACGAGUUCAUCCACGAGGACCUUGACAACAAGAGCGACCUGCUUCUCGCCAAAAACCCCAUCCACAAGAAGGUCCCCGUGCUCCUCCAUGGCGACCGUGCCAUCUGCGAGUCGCUCGUCAUCGUCGAGUACGCGGACGAGGUGUUCGACGGCCGUCCCAUCCUACCCACCGACCCCUACGACCGCGCCAUGGCCCGUUUCUGGGCUCACUUCAUCGAACACAAGGCAAUAUAUAUAAUCGUUGUCGAUAACCUCUGAAAUUUCACAAGGUUUUUCCGCUUACUGAGGGGCUGUUUAGUUCCUCAAAAACUUUUCCCAAAAACAUCAUAUUGAAUAUUUGAACACAUGUAUAGAGCAUUAAUUAAAUAUAUAUAAAAAAAAUUAAUUGCACAGUUUGCAUGUAAAUCGCGAGACGAGUCUUUUAAGCCUAAUUAGUACAUGAUUAGCCAUAAGUGUUAUAGUAAACUACAUGUGCUAAUGACAGAUUAAUUAGGCUCAAAAGAUUCGUCUCACGGUUUUCAGGCAAGUUAUGAAAUUAGUUUUUUCAUUCGUGUCCAAAAACUCCUUCCGACAUCCGGUCAAACGUCCGAUUUGACACCCAAAAAUUUUCAUUUCACAAACUAAACAAACCCUGAACAGUACAAAUUCAUGAACAUGUACAGUGCUCGAGGUCAUCGUGGCUGGCAUUGUGGUUGGACGGCGAGGAGCAGGAGGGGCUUCUGAAGGAGACGAAGGAGAACCUGGCGCUUCUGGAGGCGCAGCUCCAUGGGAAGAGGUUCUUUGCCGGUGACUCGGUCGGCUACCUCGACAUUGUUGCCAGUGGACUGGCUCACUGGAUCAGCGUGGUUGAGGAGGUGACCGGAGUGAGCUUGAUGGGCGGCGCCGACGAGGAUGACGAGUAUCCUGCUCUACGCCGUUGGGCCAAGGAGUACACCACGGAUGAGACCGUGAUGCAGUGCCUGCCGAGCAGAGAGCACCUCGCUGCCUUCUUCGCUGCGAAGAAGGACAAGCUGAAGAUGGUGGCUAAGGCGAUGCUGCAUCAGUGAUUGUGAGUGUUGUGGGGGCCGACAGUGGGAGUGUAUGUCUCAGGUGAUGGUGCUUCUUAAAUAAAAUCGAAUCAGAACAUAAUUAAACGAUUAUAAAGCCGAAAGUUCUACACGUACAUCAGAUUGUUCGUUUGUCACUCACUCGGCUCAUUUUUAUAUGGCGUGAUCUUGACUUUACACGUUUUGAAUUGAACUUUGACUACUAAUAAGUAUAUACUCCCUCCGGGUUGAUAAUACUUGUCGUUUUGGACAAGGGCACGGUCUCCAAAAAUAAUUUUGACCAUUAUUUUUCAUUAUAAUAUGUAUAAAAUUGUAAACAAAUAUAUGAUCUUAUUAAAGUACUUUUUAAGACUAAUCUAUACAUGUAGUCACUAUAUUUGAAAGAUAAAUAUUUUAAAAAUGAUUCAUAAUAAAAAAAAUCUAAAUUUUGACUUCACCCUUAUUUAGAACGAUAAGUAUUAUCAGCCCGGAGGGAGUACUGAUUAGCAUGCAGGAUAGGAACUGAUCUGUACUUGUCGAAAGGGGAUAGUGCAGAAGUUACCUGGUCAUCUUAUGGCUUGCGGGAGAAGCUUUGUAAUUAGCAAAUGAUUUAUUAAAUAUUAAGUAUUACAAAUUUAAAAAUAGAUUUGUUUGAAUUCUUUUCAAAAACUUCUAUAUAGAAUUUUUUUCUCAAAAAUCACGCCGCUAGUUGAGAUUAAAUCUCAGUAAAAUGUUCAUAGAUAUUUUUUUUCUAUGGACCAUCUAUCUAGGAAUCUUUUCAUUUUCUGGAUUUUAUCAAUUCAUCUGAUUUGCCCUACCUUUGCGCUCCGGCUUGCUCUUCAAGAAAUUUGAUAGGAUUAAUCAAUACAAAGUCUGAAAGCCAUUAUGGUGGCAGUAAUUAAGCUAUCUCUGGGAACUGCACAUGUAUAUAUAUUAUCUUUUGGUAAAUUAAAUCUCGCUGACAAAACCGAUGACCUCUGCUAUUUGGACCGAAGCAAAGAAAACCUGUGAUUCCUCCCAAGCUUAAUUAAACAAAACCGAUGAGCUCCUGCUCUUUGGACCGAAGCAACUGAGAAGCAGAUAGUCAAACUGAUUGAAAAAAGAAAAGGAAAAAUCACAGAUAAGGGAGGUCGUCCUUCUUGGAGAAGAAGUAGCUAACACACCAUUUGAAAAUUACAAAUUUGAGCCAAAAAGCAAACUUGACAUGGCCCUAUAAAUAAAUGUAUGGUUUAGCCAAGAAUACAGGAAUAAUAGCCAAAAACACUCUAAAGCAAACAUGGCCGAUCCGGUUAAGCUCAUCGGCGCUUUUGGCAGCCCAUUCGUGCACCGCGUCGAGGCGGCCCUGCAGCUCAAGGGAGUUGCCUACGAGCUCAUCCACGAGGACUUGGAGAACAAGAGCAACCUGCUGCUCGCUAGCAACCCUGUCCACAAGAAGGUCCCCGUCCUCCUCGAUGGCGGCCGAGCUAUCUGCGAAUCACUUGUCAUCGUCGAGUACGUCGACGACGCAUUCGACGGCCCGCCCAUCCUACCUGCCGACCCCUAUGACCGCGCCACGGCUCGUUUCUGGGCUCAAUUCAUCGAUCACAAGGCAAAUCUCUUCAUGUUGUUGCAUCAUUGCGUUCAUGUAAGCUCUGAACAUUUACAGGUUCUUGCGUUUGCUGAUGAUCAGUGUGCUACUACUGUUCGAUCGAACACCUGCAGUGCACGUUGCCGUUGUUGCUGGCCCUGUGGCUGGACGGUGAGGAGCAGAAGGGGUUUCUGAAGGAGACGAAGGAGAACCUGUCGCUACUGGAGGCACAGCUCGAGGGGAAGAGGUUCUUUGCCGGCGACGCCGUGGGCUACCUCGACGUCGCCGCCGGCGGAAUGGCUCACUGGAUCGGUGUGCUCGAGGAGGUCACCGGAGUGAGCGUGAUCGGCAGUGAGGACGACGACGAGUAUCCUUCGCUGCAGCGGUGGAUCAAGGAGUACGCCAACAUCGACGCCGUGAAGCUGAGUCUGCCGGAUAGAGAAGAACUCGUUGCCUUCUACACGAGAAACAAGGAUAAGUAUAAGAUGAUGUUCAGGGCGAUGGUGCAUCAGUGAUUCAGUGCAAGAAUAGAUCGAUCAAUUAAUCUCCCUGUAAUCCUGUGUGCCACCUGGGAAUAAAUUUGUACUCGUGCCAUUAAUUAGUGUAUUGAUAUUUCAUACGUAUCAUUCAAUAAGUUCUAGGCAAAGAUUAUCGUGUUUCUAGAAAAAAAAAUGGAAUCGUAUCAGGAUAAAACCCGAAGAUUCUGCGCGUAGAUCAGAUCGUUUGUCUAUUACUUACUCACCAGAUCAAUUUUUAUAUGGCGUGAUUCUGACUUUGCACGGUUAUUUAAAUUGAACUUUGACCGUAAGUAGCAGUUCCUGACGGCUUAAUAAUACAUACCGAUAUAACAAAUGCAUUGGGCCAAAUCUUCUGCAGGCCAGCCCACCUCACCUGUUCCACAAUACUAGUACAGCCCAGCAUUCUUAAUCUCUCUAUAUAAUCACAGGGUCACAAGUGCAUUAAGCCACUAACCCGGUGUAAGCAAGCAAAAAAAUGGUUAAGCUAAUCAGCGCCUUCGGGAGCCCAUUCGGGCACCGCGCCGAGGCGGCGCUCCGGCUGAAAGGCGUGCAGUACGAGCUCCUCCUGGAAGACCUCCGCAGCAAGAGCGACCUGCUGCUCGCCCACAACCCCGUCCACAAGCUCGUCCCCGUCCUCCUCCACUCCGACGGCCGCUCCGUCGCCGAGUCCCUCGUCGUCGUCCAGUACG
RNAcentral lists this long non-coding RNA (6506 nucleotides) under Oryza sativa (Asian cultivated rice). RNAcentral's name for it is "long non-coding RNA (OSAT_LNC001773)". The stretch from base 1734 to 1938 matches the Rfam family "MIR812 microRNA precursor family". Lineage: Eukaryota; Viridiplantae; Streptophyta; Magnoliopsida; Poales; Poaceae. The record is from RNAcentral.